RNAcentral lists this ribosomal RNA (253 nucleotides) under uncultured bacterium. Its description in RNAcentral is "partial 16S ribosomal RNA". It matches the Rfam family "Bacterial small subunit ribosomal RNA", at positions 524 to 776 of the family's 1533-position model. The record is from RNAcentral.
UACGGGGGGGGCAAGCGUUGUUCGGAAUUACUGGGCGUAAAGGGUUUGUAGGUGGCUUGUUAAGUCAGACGUGAAAUCCCUCAGCUUAACUGGGGAACUGCGUCUGAGACUGGUGAGCUUGAGUGCAGGAGAGGAACGCGGAAUUCCAGGUGUAGCGGUGUAAUGCGUAGAUAUCUGGAGGAACACCGGUGGCGAAGGCGGCAUUCUGGACCGAUAUUGACGCUGAGGAGCGAAAGCCAGGGGAGCAAACGGG